This 369-nucleotide ribosomal RNA is filed under the name Candidatus Terrybacteria bacterium RIFCSPHIGHO2_01_FULL_48_17. RNAcentral's name for it is "bacterial LSU rRNA". It matches the Rfam family "Bacterial large subunit ribosomal RNA", at positions 2292 to 2619 of the family's 2925-position model. Lineage: Bacteria; Candidatus Terryibacteriota. The record is from RNAcentral.
AAAAGGUAACGGAGGAGUUCAUUAAGGUCGGCUAGGUGCGGAUGGAAAUCGCGCCGAUAGGGUAAAGCCACAAGCCGGCUUUACUGCAAGGCAAAUAAGCCGCGCAGUUGCGAAAGCAGGACUUAGUGAACCGACCGUUUUCCCGACUCUUUUGGGUUUAUUCUUAAGAGGGUUGGGACUUCGUAGAACGGCGGAAGAUUACCAGAUAAAAGCUACUCCGGGGAUAACAGGCUGGUUUCGCCCGAGAGUCCAUAUCGACGGCGAAGCUCGGCACCUCGAUGUCGGCUCAUCACAUCCUGGGGGUGGAGAAGCUCCCAAGGGUUCGGCUGUUCGCCGAUUAAAGUGAUACGCGAGCUGGGUUCAAACCGU